UACGUAGGGUGCAAGCGUUAAUCGGAAUUACUGGGCGUAAAGCGUACGCAGGCGGCUAUGUAAGACAGGUGUGAAAUCCCCGGGCCUAACCUGGGAACUGCAUUUGUGACUGCAUGGCUAGAGUUUGUCAGAGGGGGGUGGAAUUCCACGUGUAGCAGUGAAAUGCGUAGAUAUGUGGAGGAACACCGAUGGCGAAGGCAGCCCCCUGGGAUGUGACUGACGCUCAUGUACGAAAGCGUGGGGAGCAAACAGG
This 253-nucleotide ribosomal RNA is filed under the name uncultured bacterium. RNAcentral's name for it is "partial 16S ribosomal RNA". It matches the Rfam family "Bacterial small subunit ribosomal RNA", at positions 524 to 776 of the family's 1533-position model. The record is from RNAcentral.